UUUAUUGGAGAGUUUGAUCCUGGCUCAGGAUGAACGCUGGCGGCGUGCCUAAUACAUGCAAGUCGAGCGAACGGAUUGAGAGCUUGCUCUCAAGAAGUUAGCGGCGGACGGGUGAGUAACACGUGGGUAACCUGCCCAUAAGACUG
This 146-nucleotide ribosomal RNA is filed under the name Bacillus thuringiensis serovar shandongiensis. Its description in RNAcentral is "partial 16S ribosomal RNA". It matches the Rfam family "Bacterial small subunit ribosomal RNA", at positions 1 to 140 of the family's 1533-position model. The record is from RNAcentral. Lineage: Bacteria; Bacillati; Bacillota; Bacilli; Caryophanales; Bacillaceae.